AAGGAAUAUUGGACAAUGGUCGCAAGACUGAUCCAGCCAUGCCGCGUGCAGGAAGACGGCCCUAUGGGUUGUAAACUGCUUUUGUACCAGAGAAAACCUAUCUACGUGUAGAUAGCUGAUAGUAUGGUAAGAAUAAGCAUCGGCUAACUUCGUGCCAGCAGCCGCGGUAAUACGGAGGGUGCGAGCGUUAUCCGGAUUUACUGGGUUUAAAGGGUGCGUAGGUGGGCUUAUAAGUCAGUGGUGAAAUCUCCGAGCUUAACUUGGAAACUGCCGUUGAUACUAUAGGUCUUGAAUUAUCUGGAGGUAAGCUGAAUAUGUCAUGUAGCGGUGAAAUGCUUAGAUAUGACAUAGAACACCAAUUGCGAAGGCAGCUUACUACAUAUAAAUUGACGCUGAGGCACGAAAGCGUGGGGAUCAAACA
RNAcentral lists this ribosomal RNA (421 nucleotides) under uncultured bacterium. RNAcentral's name for it is "bacterial SSU rRNA". It matches the Rfam family "Bacterial small subunit ribosomal RNA", at positions 356 to 774 of the family's 1533-position model. The record is from RNAcentral.